UGAUUUACUAGGACCACGGUGUAC
Molecule: non-coding RNA, 24 nt
Filed under: Drosophila erecta
Lineage: Eukaryota; Metazoa; Arthropoda; Insecta; Diptera; Drosophilidae
Also listed under: 1 other name
Source: RNAcentral